RNAcentral lists this ribosomal RNA (253 nucleotides) under uncultured bacterium. RNAcentral's name for it is "partial 16S ribosomal RNA". It matches the Rfam family "Bacterial small subunit ribosomal RNA", at positions 524 to 776 of the family's 1533-position model. The record is from RNAcentral.
UACGGGGGGGGCAAGCGUUGUUCGGAAUUACUGGGCGUAAAGGGUGCGUAGGCGGUGCUCUAAGUCGGAUGUGAAAACUCUGGGCUCAACCCAGAGCCUGCAUCCGAAACUGGAGUGCUAGAGUUCUGGAGGGGGUAGCGGAAUUCCUGGUGUAGCGGUGAAAUGCGCAGAUAUCGGGAGGAACACCGGUGGCGAAGGCGGUUCUCUGGGCCUGACCUGACGCUGAGGAGCGAAAGCGUGGGGAGCGAACAGG